GAGUUGAUCAGGCUCAGGAUGAACGCUGGCGGCGUGCCUAAUACAUGCAAGUCGAGCGAACAGACGAGGAGCUUGCUCCUCUGACGUUAGCGGCGGACGGGUGAGUAACACGUGGAUAACCUACCUAUAAGACUGGGAUAACUUCGGGAAACCGGAGCUAAUACCGAAUAAUAUAUUGAACCGCAUGGUUCAAUAGUGAAAAACGGUUUUGCUGUCACUUAUAGACGGAUCCGCGCCGCAUUAGCUAGUUGGUAGGGUAACGGGCUUACCAAGGCGACGAUGCGUAGCCGACCUGAGAGGGUGAUCGGCCACACUGGAACUGAGACACGGUCCAGACUCCUACGGGAGGCAGCAGUAGGGAAUCUUCCGCAAUGGGCGAAAGCCUGACGGAGCAACGCCGCGUGAGUGAUGAAGGUCUUCGGAUCGUAAAACUCUGUUAUUAGGGAAGACAAAUGUGUAAGUAACUAUGCACGUCUUGACGGUACCUAAUCAGAAAGCCACGGCUAACUACGUGCCAGCCGCCG
Molecule: ribosomal RNA, 524 nt
Filed under: uncultured microorganism
Description: bacterial SSU rRNA
Rfam family: Bacterial small subunit ribosomal RNA
Source: RNAcentral